GCAGAGAUGUCUGAGUGGUUUAAGGAGCACGAUUGGAAAUCGUGUGUAGGCCUGAAACCUACCGGAGGUUCAAAUCCUCUUCUCUGCG
This 88-nucleotide transfer RNA is filed under the name Caudoviricetes sp. RNAcentral describes it as "tRNA-Ser". It matches the Rfam family "tRNA". Rfam says of the family: Transfer RNA (tRNA) molecules are approximately 80 nucleotides in length. Their secondary structure includes four short double-helical elements and three loops (D, anti-codon, and T loops). Lineage: Duplodnaviria; Heunggongvirae; Uroviricota; Caudoviricetes. The record is from RNAcentral.